GCAACUGAGAACCUAGUUCACUGGUGUCCAGAUUGACACCAGUCUCAUUAAUAAUGUUUUUUUUUUUCUUUUACAAAAGUUUCCCCUGCCUCAGGCUAUGUAGGCGUCUAGCCCAAGGUGACAGUGAAGUGGCUGGAGAAGCCAGCUGCAAUCAAAGGGCUGUCAAGGAUUUGCCCCUGGAGUUGACAUAACCUCAGUAACUAACCACUUUUGUAAAGAGGUAUUGAUAACUUUAAAAAUCAUAACCUCAAAUCACAGUGUUCUUCCAGAACUGAUAGUUCAACCCUAUCUAUUCAGCAUAUAAAAAACAAAGAAUUUAUGAAAUCUACAAAAAUAGCCUGUAAGUAUUUGGGAAUGAGCUAUCUCCAUAAAUCCAUAAAUAUACCACAUGUCCACUCCUCUUUGGCUGGGUCCACCUUUGUGCACUUGGCAGAUGCUGACUCUGAGCCCGCAAAGUGUCAGACACUCUAAGAGUGGGGCAGCAUGGAUGAAAAAGGCUCAGUGUCUUCUUCAUAUAACUCAGCAGAUGUAUAAACCAGUUAGAGCAGAUUGUCAAGCUAGUAGAACACACAGUUUGAUUGUUGUUCCAUUGAUUUGGGAUUGGUUUUAUAUUGAUUUGGCAGAAAAAUUCUAUAGCAUGGUCUGCCUGACUCCCAGUCCCAUAUGUUCUAUCUUGGCACGUGCAAUCACUCAACCCCCCACCUACACACUGAACUGUCUCAUUAACUGUAGUAAAUAAAGGGCCCAAUUAAGUUAGUUCCCUCAAACCAGCCAUGCCAACGACUGUGUCCAGCUUUGGUAACCCACCACUUGGUAAGUACUGCUCUCCUGAGCUUCACUUCCUUCACUUCUCCUUCAGCUCCCUAUUCUUUGUUUCCUACCACUGAACCAUCUGGACAAGCCACAGACCCCAUUCGUCUAUUUGAUGUUUGAUAAAGUGUGGUCGAUGAACACCUACAACAGAAUCACUUGCUUUCUGGGCCCCGUCUACACCAGCAGAAUCAAAGUGGGGUGGAGGGUAAGAGAGAGAGAAAAAGAAUGAGUUUUAGGGUGGUAUGUCUGAGUCUGAAUUUUACAAAGUGCCCUCAAAAUGAUUUCUCCAUUUUAUAGGAUUCUGAAUUCUCCUGGUUUUCCUCUUACCUCAACUGUUCAUUCUUUGUCAGUCUUGUUUGCUGGUUCUUUUUUAUCUUCUGGCUGAAACUGACCUGCCAGCAUUUCAGCUCAUCUAGCAAUUCCAUCUCAAGAAGAUAUCGGAGUUCUUGUCAGUCUACAAUAAAGUUGUCACUGUGCUUUCCUGAUUUCUUCAGGGAAACAUCUGCAUCCUUGAACCUCUCAUAAUGAAGCACUGUCAAAUUACUGAAGGACUACACAUCAUCCAAUAACUAACCUGGAAAGAUCACUUGCCAAUGGCUCCAUGCCACGACAAACAGAUGUUGUCUCUGUCACCUACCUGAAAAAGAGGUCAAAUGUUCCACAACAGACACACUCUGCUGUCCGCCUUGUGGAUAUACAUUAGUCAUUUAAUAACCUUUUCGUUUUACCCUGUAUGAAAAUCAGAGGUAGUUUUCAGUUUAUUGAGUGACAUAUCAGAUCAUUUUAAAAGCAGACUUAUCUUUAGAGUAAUUAUGCAAUUGAAUCUGACUUCAAGAUUGGAGGACUGCAAAUAGCUUGUCAGAAUGCACGUCAAUUGGCCCUGCCUUUUACGUUCAUGACAGUUAUAUGAACACUGUAAUCAGUCUUGCCAAAAUAUACAAAAAUAAAUUUCAUAUUAAUAAA
Long non-coding RNA from Leopardus geoffroyi (Geoffroy's cat), 1776 nucleotides. RefSeq lists it as uncharacterized. NCBI's taxonomy places the organism in Eukaryota, Metazoa, Chordata, Mammalia, Carnivora, Felidae. The record is from RefSeq and is a predicted model, not a curated record. The transcript is spliced from 2 exons.